GAAAUGCGAUAAGUAAUGUGAAUUGCAGAAUUCAGUGAAUCAUCGAAUCUUUGAACGCACAUUGCGCCCGCCAGUAUUCUGGCGGGCAUGCCUGUUCGAGCGUCAUUUCAACCCUCAAGCCCUGCUUGGUGUUGGGGCCCCACGGCAGCCGUGGGCCCCGAAAGGAAGUGGCGGGCUCGCCGCGACUCCGAGCGUAGUAGAAAUAGACCUCGCUAGGGAGGCUGCGGCGGCGCUCCGGCCGUUAAAGACCCCAUCUUUAACCCAAGGUUGACCUCGGAUCAGGUAGGAAUACCCGCUGAACUUAA
Molecule: unclassified non-coding RNA, 305 nt
Filed under: uncultured Sordariomycetes
Lineage: Eukaryota; Fungi; Ascomycota; Sordariomycetes
Description: sequence contains ITS1
Rfam family: 5.8S ribosomal RNA (bases 1-105)
Source: RNAcentral